GCAACCGCGGUCGUAAUCGCCGGCACCUGAGAAAGGUCCGAUCACG
RNAcentral lists this small RNA (46 nucleotides) under Sinorhizobium meliloti 2011. Its description in RNAcentral is "putative ncRNA". The record is from RNAcentral. Lineage: Bacteria; Pseudomonadati; Pseudomonadota; Alphaproteobacteria; Hyphomicrobiales; Rhizobiaceae.